Long non-coding RNA from Xiphophorus hellerii (green swordtail), 1658 nucleotides. RefSeq lists it as uncharacterized. The transcript has 3 exons. NCBI's taxonomy places the organism in Eukaryota, Metazoa, Chordata, Actinopteri, Cyprinodontiformes, Poeciliidae. The record is from RefSeq and is a predicted model, not a curated record.
CUGCCAAUAGUAACAAGAUAUAACCCUACAGUAGUUAAAAAAACAGCAGUUACUAUUGACUAAUCUAUAAAGAUUGUGUUUGCACAUCUCACUUUCCCCUCUCUAUUCCAACAGUACUAUUUAUUCUUUUAUUGAAGUGGAAAAAUACCAUAAUGCAAAUGAAUAUUGAAUAUGAGCAUAACUCUGAAGAAACAGAAAGAAAAUAACUGUAUCGAGAUGAGUUUUAUUUCAAAGCUCGAGGUCAGCACUUGAUAAAGUGAGGGGGAGAGUCCCAGUGGGCUGAAUUAUUGUUAUUCAGUUGGGAGGAUAAAUCAUAAACUUAAAAAGUGCAAUCUAGUCCAAGAAAAUUUAGGAGAGGAAUAAUGAGCAAACAUAUUUCUUAUAAUGCCACACAUUAUAAGAAACUGUUCACACACAAUAAUUAAAAAAUAAAUAAUAAAUAAUCAUCCCCCCUGUUGGACGGCUCUUCAUCUCAAGCUCUGGUCUUCUACCAGUGGCCUGGGAGCUUUUAACUAAACAGGAAAAUUUAAGGAAAAUUUUAACUAAACUGACUACAAAUACAGAACAUACGGUGAGAUCACACUCAUUAUUGCAAUUUCAGUGUGUGCACAAUCUCAAUUCAGAAGACUACUUGAGUGCAUUUUUUAGUAUUUCAUUUCAAUGCACAUUUAUACAUAACACAUUUAUGUCAACAAUAUAUUUAGCCGCUUUUAUAACUUCUCACUGCCUUUGAUAACAUCUUUCUUCAUUUAAUGGCAGAGAUAAGUCAGCUCUUCACUAAGUAAAUAUAAGGAAAAUGUUCUUCAACAACAGCAUAGCAAUUAUCUUUUCUCCUACUAUCGCACAACCCUAGCUUAAAUUUACUCAUUAGUUUAACAGUGAGGCCAAAGUGUGUAGCUCAGUUUGAGUCUCAGAAUAUACGUAUAUCUUUUACAAACUUUUAAAAGUAAUGUCUCUGAAUUUUUCUUUCUUUCCCCCAAAUCCAAGUCUCAGCACUAUACAAUCCUCUCUAAAUUUCACCUGCUGGCGCCAAGAAAUUUCCGCCUCUUGAAAAGUCGUCUUAUUGCAGCGAGUAUCCUCUCCUACUACAUUUGUGUUUCUCUCUUGUAUAUUUAUCUAUAAAUUUUUUCCUGGACCACAGAUGUGCUUCCUUUUGGCAGCUGCACCCUUCGCUGCAUCUGCACUGUUCCUUGGCGCUCGAGGAUUAACGGGGACAAGUGAGAAUAAUUAGGGAUGUAACAACCCAGCCCAACUCGCCAUUCCACCUGCCUAAAAGGAGGGAUGAAGGCGCUUGUUGCUCUCAGGGUGAACAACAUUGCCUGCUCUAAUGUGGCAUCUGGCAAUAGUGAAAUAUCAGAGCAUGGAAGGCAGCCAGAAGGAAGGUGCAGGAAGGAGUGAGGUUCUACCUGGCUGCCACAGGUGCAAUGUGUUGGAGCUCGUCAGCCACCCCAUAAAGAGCUUCAUAACAGAGAUGUGGGAUCCCUUGUUUCCCUGGGCCUUGAUCUGAAGUGAUCUUGUCUGUCUGGUGACUGUUUGUGGGGACUUAAAUGAUACCAUUUAAGAUACCAUUUGCUAGUGAUGGUGAGAUGAAGCCUCAUGAGGCAUUGAACCACUUGAGCCAACUGGUUCGAGAAAGGGUUCAUUUCUUGAAGCUUCAU